This 750-nucleotide ribosomal RNA is filed under the name Triticum aestivum (bread wheat). RNAcentral describes it as "partial small subunit ribosomal RNA". The record is from RNAcentral. Lineage: Eukaryota; Viridiplantae; Streptophyta; Magnoliopsida; Poales; Poaceae.
AUGGCGAUCAAGCUUAUAGCAGUAGCGUUUUUCUUGCUCGUCCUGGCCUUUGCUGAGUCCAGCGACAGGGGUGAACCUCCAUCUUCUCAAGAAAAUGCUUUUGGUGCGAGCGCUUAUGCGGUUCAUUGGGAUCCAGAUUAUGCACAUUCUGAAGAAAAUGGUUUUGGUGAAAGUGCUUAUGCGGUGCAUUGGGAUUCUCCUUCUCAAAAAGACAACUUUGGUGAAAGUGCGUAUGCGGUACAUUGGGACCCCCCUUCAAAAGAAGAAGGUUUUGGGGCAAGUGCUUAUAAGGUGGAUUGGAACCCAGAAGAUGCACCUUCCAAAGAAGAAGGUUUUGGAACAAGUGCUUAUAAGGUGGAUUGGAACCCAGAAGAUGCACCUUCCAAAGAAAAAGGUUUUGGGGCAAGUGCUUAUAAGGUGGACUGGAACUCAGAACAUGCAUUUCCAAGGAAAAUGGUUUUGGGGCAAGUGCUUAUAAGGUGGAUUGGAACCCAGAAGAUACACCUUCCAAAGAAAAAGGUUUCGGCCAAAGUGCUUACAAGGUGUCUUGGAGCCCAGAAGAUCCACAUUCCGGUUUUGGGGCAAGCGCUUAUAAGGUAUCUUGGAGCCCAGAUGGUGCACCUUCUGACAAAGGAUUUGGUGCAAGUGCUUAUGCGGUACAUUGGGAUCCAGAUCAUCCACCUUCUGGUAAUGGUAAGUACUUGUGCUACGUUUCUUAUCAAGUGGAAGAAUGUGUUCAUUCUGAAGUAG